UACAGAGGCCCCGAGCAUUACCCGGAAUUACUGGGCGUAAAGGGUGCGUAGGUGGUCGUGUUAGUCGCCUGUUAAAACCCCCGGCUCAACCGGGGAGCGGCGGGCGAAACGGCACGACUAGAGAGCGUGAGAGGUCUGUGGAACUCUAGGUGUAGGGGUGAAAUCCGUUGAUAUCUAGGGGAACACCGAAAGCGAAGGCAGCAGACUGGCGCGUUUCUGACACUCAAGCACGAAAGCGUGGGUAGCGAACGGG
RNAcentral lists this unclassified non-coding RNA (253 nucleotides) under uncultured Parcubacteria group bacterium. Its description in RNAcentral is "contains 16S-23S intergenic spacer region". It matches the Rfam family "Bacterial small subunit ribosomal RNA", at positions 524 to 776 of the family's 1533-position model. The record is from RNAcentral.